AUUUAUAUAUGAAAAUAAAACAAAACGUGUAUUUUUGUAAGUACAAAUUUCAAGCACCGCAUAAUCCGUGUAGGUCCAGGUGCUCGUGGACGAAGCGAAGCUCCGAGAAGAUGCCCUCAAAGCCCAGGUGCUCUCAUUCGAAAAGGACAAUUGCGCCCUGAAGGAGCAGAAGAAAUCUCUUUUGCAAGAUGCCAAAGACUGGCAGGAGAAGCACGUGAGACUGAGCGAGGCGAUCACGGUUUACCACAAAACACAGACGGAGCUGGAGAACGCGCUCGUGCACAAAGAAAACGAAAUCGAAGUUCUGUCCGGAUGCAUCGCCAAGAUCAAAAACCUGGAGGCUUGUAACGACGAGGAGCUCGGGAACA
Long non-coding RNA from Silurus meridionalis, 368 nucleotides. RefSeq lists it as uncharacterized. NCBI's taxonomy places the organism in Eukaryota, Metazoa, Chordata, Actinopteri, Siluriformes, Siluridae. The record is from RefSeq and is a predicted model, not a curated record. The transcript has 3 exons.